Molecule: ribosomal RNA, 607 nt
Filed under: uncultured marine eukaryote
Lineage: Eukaryota
Description: SSU rRNA
Rfam family: Eukaryotic small subunit ribosomal RNA
Source: RNAcentral
AACCUGGUUGAUCCUGCCAGUAGUCAUAUGCUUGUCUCAAAGACUAAGCCAUGCACGUCUAAGUACAAACUAAAUGAUGGUGAAACUGCAAAUGGCUCAUUACAACGGUUAUGAUGUACCCGGGAGUUCCGAUGGAUAUUUCCAGUAACACUAGAACUAAUACAUGCUCCUGCGUUUAUUAGUUUCGCACAGUCCGUCGCUGAGUCAUGGUAAACAGUUGAUCGACUCGACGUCCCGGAACAGUUUCCGCCCCAUCAGCUUCGAUGGUUGGGUAUUGGCCUACCAUUGCAACAACGGGUAACGAGGAAUUAGGGUUUGAUUUCGGAGAGGGAGCCUGAGAAACGGCUACCACAUCUACGGAUGGCAGCAGGCGCGCAAAUUACCCAAUGCAGACACUGUGAGGUAGUGACGAGAAAUAAUAAAGCGGGACUUCUGUUUCGCUAUUAUAAUGAGGAAUAACCAAAGGUCAUUCCGAUUAGCAACUGAUGGGAAAGUCUGGUGCCAGCAGCCGCGGUAAUACCAGCGUCAGUAGCAUAUAUUAAAAUUGUUGCAGUAAAAACGUCCGUAGUCUGUACGUCGUCCCAACUCACUGCAGUCUCCGUUUUCU